CUCGCGCCAGUGUGGGGGAGAGGAGCAGUGUCCCAAUCUCCCGCCCAACUCCCCCCACUCCCUCCUCAGCUUCCAAAGGUCAGAAGGCGCCUGCAGCUCUGGGUGGAGAUUCGAACAUUAUUAUUGCGGUGUUUUGUUGUUGUUGUUGUUGUUUUUUAAUGGGCACCAGCAGGUCUGAAGAGGGAGUGAAGGGAAUGGGACGACCCAGGAUGAUUUCCCCGCACAACAGCGCCCCCCACUUUGCGACCCUCAGGUUGCCACGGCCUAGAGCUCCGCUGGAGCAGGGCGUGACCCUUCAACCUUCCAGCCGGAGGCGACCUUCGCACCCGAGACCACCGCGAGGCCGCCGGGCCCUGCUCUCCCCGAAAGGCUCUGCAUUGUUCAGAGAACCAACUUCUCCAGGCUUCGAGAGUGUCCUCGAAAUGGCCCUCCUCUUGUUUCCAAUCUAGGAAAUUGGCCCCUCGCCCCAGGAGGCCCGAAGCGGGAGGAUAAACGGCGUCUCCAUCCCAUCCCCACCGUCACACGGCGGCAACACCCAGCCUGACUCAUGGAGUCAUGGAGGCCAGCAGGCCGGAUGCUGUUGCCUCUUUUAAACCCUACCGACAGGCCCAGUCGUAGAGAACCAGCCCCACGGCAUCAAAAUUAUCCAGAAGUGCUCUCCCCACUGCAACACGUAGGAAGAAUGUCUGCGCUGCCAGGAUAGGGCAACAUUCCAGAAUCUCAGGGAUUAUUAUUUUCCUUGGACACUCUCCGCAGUGAUUCAGCAGUGAAAGGGAGCAAUGUCAGCAGAUGGAGCCUGGAGAUGGAUCAGAACCAGUUUGUCUGACUUUGGCUAAUACUGUUUUACCAAA
Long non-coding RNA from Neogale vison (American mink), 851 nucleotides. RefSeq lists it as uncharacterized. The record is from RefSeq and is a predicted model, not a curated record. The transcript has 3 exons. Lineage: Eukaryota; Metazoa; Chordata; Mammalia; Carnivora; Mustelidae.